Molecule: ribosomal RNA, 348 nt
Filed under: Theileria equi
Lineage: Eukaryota; Apicomplexa; Aconoidasida; Piroplasmida; Theileriidae
Description: SSU rRNA
Rfam family: Eukaryotic small subunit ribosomal RNA
Source: RNAcentral
GAGUAUCAAUUGGAGGGCAAGUCUGGUGCCAGCAGCCGCGGUAAUUCCAGCUCCAAUAGCGUAUAUUAAACUUGUUGCAGUUAAAAAGCUCGUAGUUGAAUUUCUGCUGUUUCGUUGACUGCGCUUGGCGUUUGUCAUCGUUGCGGCUUGGUUGGGUUUCGAUUAUUCGUUUCCCGGCGUUUACUUUGAGAAAAUUAGAGUGCUUGAAGCAGGCUUUUGCCUUGAAUACUUUAGCAUGGAAUAACGGAGUAGGACUUUGGUUCUAUUUUGUUGGUUUUAGGAGCCAGAGUAAUGGUUAAUAGGAACAGUUGGGGGCAUUCGUAUUUGACUGUCAGAGGUGAAAUUCUU